AAAUCAACAAUAAAUAUAUCAGAUCUACAGUUGAUAUCAGACUGGUGUUAGUGCCCGUCGUUGUGUCGAGUUUGUGAUUGUGCUUACUGAACAUUUAUUUAUAUUAUUUUGUUAAAAUGGCACCACAAAUAAAAUAUACCAAGUUGUUCAUCGACAAUGAGUGGGUUGACGCAAAGAGUGGAAAGACCUUUGAGACAUACAACCCACAUGAUGGAUCCGUCAUCGCCAAAGUGGCUGAAGGUGAUAAGUCUGACAUUGACUUGGCAGUCGCUGCCGCAAAACGGGCUUUCCAUCGGAAUUCCGAAUGGCGGCAAUUGGACGCCUCUCAGCGUGGUGAAAUUAUUCGCAAGUUCGCAGACCUCAUCGAAAGAGACGGCCAGUAUAUUGCGGAGUUGGAAUCAUACAACAAUGGCACAGUACUGAAUUUCGCUUCACUAUUUGUAUCAAGAUUUGUAAAGACUGCUCGUUAUUUAGCAUCUUGCGCUGAUAAAUUACACGGCGAUACCCUUGCUGCAGAUGGUGAGGUAUUCUCUUAUACCCUGAAACAGCCAGUUGGAGUGUGUGGACUUAUUCUUCCUUGGAAUGUACCCAUUGGCAUGUUCAUAAACAAAGUUUGCACUGCCUUAGCCGCCGGAUGCACUGUGGUUGUCAAGCCAGCAGAGCAAACUCCAUUAACUGCGUUGGUGCUAGCGGCACUGCUUAAAGAAGCCGGUGUACCCAAGGGAGUCGUCAAUGUCGUCAAUGGCUUCGGCCCUGGAGCCGGAACAGCUCUCACUCAUCACAGUGAUGUUGCCAAGAUUUCAUUCACCGGCUCAGUUGAGGUUGGCAAACUGAUACAACAAGCAGCUGGAGCUAACAAUCUGAAGCGUGUGACUCUGGAGCUGGGCGGCAAGAGCCCUCUUGUUAUCAUGAACGACGCUGAUCUAAACAUAGCGGUUCCUUACGCUGCAAAUGGAGUAUUUUUCCAUCAAGGACAAAUAUGCAUAGCAGCUUCCAGAUUGUUCGUUCAGUCUGGUAUCUAUGACAAGUUUGUUGAAGCAGCUGUGAAGCAUGCACAAACCAUCAAGGUUGGAAACCCCACAGACCCAACUUCGCAAAACGGUCCUCAGGUCGAUGAAUCUAUGAUGACAAAGGUACUUGGAUACAUUGAAAAGGGCAAAAAGGAAGGCGCAAAGCUGCUUUGCGGUGGCAACAGAAUCGGCACAACUGGCUACUACAUCCAGCCUACAGUCUUCGCUGACGUUACAGAUGAUAUGACUAUCGCAAAGGAAGAGAUUUUCGGCCCGGUGCAAAGUAUAUUGAAGUUUGACACCUUAGAGGAAGUCAUAGACCGAGCAAACAACACCAACUAUGGUUUGGCAGCUGGAAUCUUCACAACAAAUGUCAAUAAUGCCUUACAGUUCUCUAAAUAUGUUGAGGCUGGCGUCGUCUGGGUCAACAUGUACUUUGGUCAAGGUCCUCAAGCACCCUUCGGAGGUUUCAAGGAGUCAGGAAUUGGCCGCGAAAAUGGUUUAGCUGCUCUCGAUGCUUACCUCGAAGUCAAGACUGUCACCAUUUCUUUGCCCAAGAAGGUCUAAACUGAAAUAAUCGACUUGUUAAGAUUUGAAAACGGCUCUUUAUCUUGAAAGGACUGAUUAUGCAAAAAAAAAUCGUUGACAUGUUAGUAAAAUACUCAAAUAUU
Molecule: unclassified non-coding RNA, 1681 nt
Filed under: Helicoverpa zea (corn earworm)
Lineage: Eukaryota; Metazoa; Arthropoda; Insecta; Lepidoptera; Noctuidae
Description: aldehyde dehydrogenase 1A1-like, transcript variant X2
Source: RNAcentral